Molecule: small nucleolar RNA, 107 nt
Organism: Pistacia vera
Lineage: Eukaryota; Viridiplantae; Streptophyta; Magnoliopsida; Sapindales; Anacardiaceae
Source: RefSeq, a predicted model, not a curated record
ACUGCGUGAUGGGGACACUUCCUAAACAUUUCCUUCAAACGCUCCCAAUUCUCAUAAAAUUCCUCGCCAUCUAGUUGAGUGAAACUAGUGAUGGCUCGUCUUAUACU